UGGGGAAUUUUGCACAAUGGGGGAAACCCUGAUGCAGCGACGCCGCGUGAUUUAGAAGGCCUUCGGGUUGUAAAAAUCUUUUUUACGGGAUGAAAAUGACAGUACCGUAAGAAUAAGGUCCGGCUAAAUACGUGCCAGCAGCCGCGGUAAUACGUAUGGACCGAGCGUUGUCCGGAAUCAUUGGGCGUAAAGGGUACGUAGGCGGCCUAGUAAGUUAGAAGUGAAAUAAUAUAGCUCAACUAUAUAAAGCUUUUAAAACUGCUAGGCUUGAGAGAUGGAAGGGAAAGUGGAAUUCCUAGUGUAGCGGUGAAAUGCGCAGAUAUUAGGAAAGAUAACGGUGGCGAAGGCGACUUUCUGGUCAUCAUCUGACGCUGAGGUACGAAAGCGUGGGUAGCAAACAGG
Molecule: ribosomal RNA, 402 nt
Filed under: bacterium
Lineage: Bacteria
Description: partial 16S ribosomal RNA
Rfam family: Bacterial small subunit ribosomal RNA
Source: RNAcentral